GACGAACGCUGGCGGCGUGCUUAACACAUGCAAGUCGAACGGUAAAGCAGAGCUUGCGCUGUGGAUCAGUGGCGAACGGGUGAGUAACACGUGAGUAACCUGCCCUUGUCUCUGGGAUAAGCGUUGGAAACGACGUCUAAUACAGGAUACAACGACUGAAGGCACCUGCUGGUUGUGGAAAGAAUUGGGGUCAUGGAUGGACUCGCGGCUUAUCAGCUUGUUGGUGGGGUAGUGGCUCACCAAGGCGACGACGGGUAGCCGGCCUGAGAGGGUGACCGGCCACACUGGGACUGAGACACGGCCCAGACUCCUACGGGAGGCAGCAGUGGGGAAUAUUGCACAAUGGGCGCAAGCCUGAUGCAGCAACGCCGCGUGCGGGAUGACGGCCUUCGGGUUGUAAACCUCUUUUGGUAGGGAAGAAGCGAAAGUGACGGUACCUGCUGAAAAAGCACCGGCUAACUACGUG
This 466-nucleotide ribosomal RNA is filed under the name uncultured bacterium. Its description in RNAcentral is "partial 16S ribosomal RNA". It matches the Rfam family "Bacterial small subunit ribosomal RNA", at positions 28 to 507 of the family's 1533-position model. The record is from RNAcentral.